This is a transfer RNA of Ipomoea nil (Japanese morning glory), 72 nucleotides long. It matches the Rfam family "tRNA". Rfam says of the family: Transfer RNA (tRNA) molecules are approximately 80 nucleotides in length. The record is from Rfam. NCBI's taxonomy places the organism in Eukaryota, Viridiplantae, Streptophyta, Magnoliopsida, Solanales, Convolvulaceae.
GAUACCAUGGCCCAAUGGAUACAGUGCUGGUCUAUAAAGCCAGAGAUUUUGGGUUCAUCCCCAAUGAAGUCG